GGGGUAUUAGCUCAUUUGGUAGAGCGCUUCUAUGGCAUAGAAGAGGUGAGGAGUUCGAAUCUCCUAUACUCCACCA
This 76-nucleotide transfer RNA is filed under the name Candidatus Saccharimonadota bacterium. RNAcentral describes it as "tRNA-Ala". It matches the Rfam family "tRNA". Rfam says of the family: Transfer RNA (tRNA) molecules are approximately 80 nucleotides in length. Lineage: Bacteria; Candidatus Saccharimonadota. The record is from RNAcentral.